UCCAUCGGUUUUGGGUACAUAUUGACAGGCCUGUUUGGUGUGGGUGGAUUGGGACCAGCAGUGGUCUUUUGCUCUCAGGUUAGUAAAACCCUCUCCGUCAUGUUUCAUUAUAAUAGUUGAAGCAUGCGCCAUUCUGCAGAUGUGCAUCAAACAAAUGACACUGUGGAUAAUGUAUGAAUUUGGUAAAAUAUGUUGAUGUGACAAUCUAUUGAAUUAUUAUUAUUUAUUUUUUUCUUUAGCAUCCUGUGACAGACAUCCGGUUAUGCAUUCUUCUUCUCUCUCACGGGAUACUUUGGCAUUUCAUUUGUGCUGCACUUGAUCAAACUCUUCGGAGCCCUGGUCACAGUCACAGUGACGACCGGACGUAAGGCGAUGACAAUUAUCCCUUUAUGUUCUUCUCAAAGCCUUUUACUUUUCAGUACAUAUUGAGUGGCCUUUUAGUUCUGUUGGGCAUUUUCCUGAAUGUUUACAGCAAAAACAAAGACGAGACGAAGCUGCCAUCUUUGGCCGACCUCAGCAAUAUGGUUCUAACAGGGAAGAAAGUCAGGCUGCUAUCACAGAAUGUGUAGUAAGAGGGACCUAUGUCGGGAUAAACAGACGUUUUUCUGAACGUUCCUAUCUAACAUGGACCUAAUAACGGGUGGGCUCCUAACGCCUUUAAAGGCGAUAUAGAGCCCCGUCCAUAAGCAUUCCCAGGAGGAGAACAUAGAUAUGGUGCACCUACGAGACUCGGAAAUGGAAGCUGGCCUCUUAGCUAACCUUAAUAGCACAGUUUUGCACUGUAAGUGACUAAUGACUUUAGCCUGUGCAAGGCGAAGGGGGACGAGACAGUUGAAAGAUAAGCUCUGAACUUUUAUUGAACUGAUCAUGUCCCGAAUGUUUAUUUUCACCUGCAUGUGCCAGAAGACAAAAAAAAAAGUGUUUUACUCAAUGAUUGUCUGAGAAAUGUCUUCUUAUGGUAUAUUUGUCAUUUAUAUCCAAUUGUACAAAAUACCGCUCAGCAGCACAUUGACAUCUUGUCAUGCUCGGAAGUGUAUAAACGUGUCAACCACCAUAUUUGCGAACAAUUUAUUUUUGUGAAAGGUUAGCUCUUUUUACAUUAAAAACCAACUGGGAAGUUUAU
Long non-coding RNA from Oncorhynchus masou masou (cherry salmon), 1123 nucleotides. RefSeq lists it as uncharacterized. NCBI's taxonomy places the organism in Eukaryota, Metazoa, Chordata, Actinopteri, Salmoniformes, Salmonidae. The record is from RefSeq and is a predicted model, not a curated record. The transcript is spliced from 3 exons.